CCUACGGGCGGCAGCAGUGAGGAAUAUUGGUCAAUGGGCGCGAGCCUGAACCAGCCAAGUCGCGUGAGGGAUGACGGUCCUACGGAUUGUAAACCUCUUUUGCCGGGGAGCAAGCGUGCGUUCGUGAACGCACGUCGAGAGUACCCGGAGAAAAAGCAUCGGCUAACUCCGUGCCAGCAGCCGCGGUAAUACGGAGGAUGCGAGCGUUAUCCGGAUUUAUUGGGUUUAAAGGGUGCGUAGGCGGGAUGCCAAGUCAGCGGUAAAAAUGCGGUGCUCAACGCCGUCGAGCCGUUGAAACUGGCGUGCUUGAGUGGGCGAGAAGUAUGCGGAAUGCGUGGUGUAGCGGUGAAAUGCAUAGAUAUCACGCAGAACUCCGAUUGCGAAGGCAGCAUACCGGCGCCCUACUGACGCUGAGGCACGAAAGCGUGGUAUCGAACAGGAUUAGAUACCCCUGUAGUC
Molecule: ribosomal RNA, 459 nt
Filed under: uncultured bacterium
Lineage: Bacteria
Description: partial 16S ribosomal RNA
Rfam family: Bacterial small subunit ribosomal RNA
Source: RNAcentral